This is a non-coding RNA of Brachypodium distachyon (stiff brome), 78 nucleotides long. The record is from Rfam. NCBI's taxonomy places the organism in Eukaryota, Viridiplantae, Streptophyta, Magnoliopsida, Poales, Poaceae.
UACUCAGUGAUUAGAGCCAAUUACAUUGGCAAUAUACGACACGGACCUUAUUUGGUUGAAAAGUUCGAUAGGAGAGUU